GCCACAAGGGAAGCCCACAGAAAGGGGAGAGAUUGAUAAUAUAGGAGUGAAGGAACAUAUCUGUUUAUCUAAGACCCUCCCUCCUCUGUCCUGCUGUAUGUUCACACACACAACUCAGCUCCACAUGACUUUAAGGCCCCCUUCUCUCAGGCAGUCACUUUUCACAGUAAGAGCUCUCUCCCAGCCCCUAGAAUUAUUGUUACCUCCCCUGACCCCUCAGCCUAUAAAGGAAGCCACAGCUCCCCGCUAUUGCUUAUGCCCAGGUGGCCCCAUCCUACCCUGCCCACACCCCUGGGGACAGUCUUUCCAUCAAGCCCUAGCGAUGCUCAGCAGCCAGCUCCCUCUGCCAGGGCCCUGGCUGCCGCAUCCAAUGAGGCCACCCACAGAACUGGUCAGAGGGACCCAGGUCAGCUCAACUGAGAGGAUACCCACUUCUCUGAGCCUGAGGAAAGCAGGAGAAGGGGGGCCAAUGGACAUGUCUGCAGGUUUCAGGAAGAUUAAAGGACUCAACACAUGGAAAGCAGUCAGCACAAUGCCUGCCCAUCUUGUGCACUCAGCAUACAUCAGCUGUUCUUACUUCCAGGAGAGGUGGGGAAGCCAGAGGAAGUUCUGAAGCAAAAAUCUCAAGAAAGGACGACGCCUGUGUUUGUUGUCUCAGGAACAGCAGUCACAUCUAGGUCAAGGGAAUGAAGGUAAUGUAAGUUGUUCUAAGCUGGGAUCAGUCUGUGCCAGAGAUGAAGAGAAACUGUAUUCCAAAAAUCCCAGGCCUCACAUGGAUAUUACCAACUUUCUCGGAUGCUGGAUGGGCCUUGGCAGCCUAGAAGUCAACUGCACCAUAAGAGAGGCUGAGCUCUCGCUGACCUGCCUACCAUCUCCAGGAAGUUCCUCCCUGGAACCAACCAUAAAUGAACAAAAGUACCUCCUAUAAGAAGGAGAUACUGUCUCACAAUUCUGGAGGCCAGAGUGAAAUCAAGGUGUGAGCAGGACUAAUAUUUAGGAAUUUGUUCAGACUGACUCUUGGUAGGCAUCAAAUCUCAAGCAUCAAAGAAAUCUGUUGGAUAAAUUUCCAGAAAGCCUCCUAGUCAAGUGCCUAUGAACACUUUUCUAUUAGCAGAAGCACCCAAAGGAGAAGUCCAGAGAUGGAUCAAGGAAGAAAAAGCAAAAGUCCUACUCCUCUCACUUAGGCCUCAAGCAAUGUGUGACACUUGCCCUCCGUGUCAUCUCUGUUGCCUUUCAGAUCCCCGUCUAAAUUUCCAGCUAAUCUCAGCAUGAGGAGCAAGUCACCAGCCCUCUGAAGGCCUCCUUGGGGCACAGCCUACGCUCUGCAGGGUGUUCCCCAUCUGAGUCCUAUCUACACCAGCUCUUGCAGAUGACUGGAUCCUAAGCACACAGACCUCCCCAACUCCCGCUUCCCCCAGCAAUUUUUGUGACUCUGCUUUAACCUAUAAACUGAAGGGCAAGGCAGGGGAUGUUUUCCUGUUCUCUUUAAUCUGGUAUAUAAUAAAUUAUGCCUAUUUAAUCCUUUAA
Long non-coding RNA from Bubalus bubalis (water buffalo), 1527 nucleotides. RefSeq lists it as uncharacterized. The transcript is spliced from 3 exons. The record is from RefSeq and is a predicted model, not a curated record. Lineage: Eukaryota; Metazoa; Chordata; Mammalia; Artiodactyla; Bovidae.